GUUGUAGCAAAAUCUACAACCGAGCCUCAGAACUCGAACGAUUUAUACUUGGCGAAUAGCACGCCCCAAGCGUGUUUUUU
This 80-nucleotide small RNA is filed under the name Glaesserella parasuis. RNAcentral's name for it is "isrK Hfq binding RNA". It matches the Rfam family "isrK Hfq binding RNA". RNAcentral also lists the same sequence under 1 other name. The record is from RNAcentral. Lineage: Bacteria; Pseudomonadati; Pseudomonadota; Gammaproteobacteria; Pasteurellales; Pasteurellaceae.